RNAcentral lists this ribosomal RNA (491 nucleotides) under uncultured bacterium. RNAcentral describes it as "partial 16S ribosomal RNA". It matches the Rfam family "Bacterial small subunit ribosomal RNA", at positions 29 to 507 of the family's 1533-position model. The record is from RNAcentral.
AGUGAACGCUGGCGGUAGGCCUAACACAUGCAAGUCGAACGGCAGCACAGUAAGAGCUUGCUCUUACGGGUGGCGAGUGGCGGACGGGUGAGGAAUACAUCGGAAUCUACUUUUUCGUGGGGGAUAACGUAGGGAAACUUACGCUAAUACCGCAUACGACCUACGGGUGAAAGCAGGGGAUCUUCGGACCUUGCGCGAUUGAAUGAGCCGAUGUCGGAUUAGCUAGUUGGCGGGGUAAAGGCCCACCAAGGCGACGAUCCGUAGCUGGUCUGAGAGGAUGAUCAGCAACACUGGAACUGAGAAAGGUCCAGACUCCUACGGGAGGCAGCAGUGGGGAAUAUUGGACAAUGGGCGCAAGCCUGAUCCAGCCAUACCGCGUGGGUGAAGAAGGCCUUCGGGUUGUAAAGCCCUUUUGUUGGGAAAGAAAAGCAGCAGGUUAAUACCCCGCUGUUCUGACGGUACCCAAAGAAUAAGCACCGGCUAACUUCGUG